UAAUUGAAGAGUUUGAUCAUGGCUCAGAUUGAACGCUGGCGGCAGGCCUAACACAUGCAAGUCGAGCGGUAACAGGGGAAGCUUGCUUCUCGCUGACGAGCGGCGGACGGGUGAGUAAUGUAUGGGGAUCUGCCCGAUAGAGGGGGAUAACCACUGGAAACGGUGGCUAAUACCGCAUAAUCUCUUAGGAGCAAAGCAGGGGAACUUCGGUCCUUGCGCUAUCGGAUGAACCCAUAUGGGAUUAGCUAGUAGGUGGGGUAAUGGCUCACCUAGGCGACGAUCCCUAGCUGGUCUGAGAGGAUGAUCAGCCACACUGGGACUGAGACACGGCCCAGACUCCUACGGGAGGCAGCAGUGGGGAAUAUUGCACAAUGGGCG
This 378-nucleotide ribosomal RNA is filed under the name Providencia rettgeri. RNAcentral's name for it is "bacterial SSU rRNA". It matches the Rfam family "Bacterial small subunit ribosomal RNA", at positions 1 to 377 of the family's 1533-position model. The record is from RNAcentral. Lineage: Bacteria; Pseudomonadati; Pseudomonadota; Gammaproteobacteria; Enterobacterales; Morganellaceae.